Molecule: transfer RNA, 73 nt
Filed under: Cordylochernes scorpioides
Lineage: Eukaryota; Metazoa; Arthropoda; Arachnida; Pseudoscorpiones; Chernetidae
Description: tRNA-Val
Rfam family: tRNA
About the family: Transfer RNA (tRNA) molecules are approximately 80 nucleotides in length. Their secondary structure includes four short double-helical elements and three loops (D, anti-codon, and T loops).
Source: RNAcentral
GUUUCUGUGGUGUAGUGGUUAUCACAUCCGCUAAACACGCGGAAGGUCCCAGGUUCGAACCCUGGCAGAAACA